CACUUCUGCAAACACAAACACACAGUCACACACAGUUUCUCUUUGUAUACACCUAAACACCGGUCGGCGACGGUACACGGAAACUACUAACCACCGAUUGAUCGUCCGACGACUAAUUUCUCCUCCGGCAACUACUCCACCAGCUCAGCUAAAGGCAAAACCAUCUUCUUAUUCUUUCAUCUUGUGAGGCUUUUAUGUUUAUAAUAAUAAUAAUAAUUCUAGUAAAUUAAGAUAAAAGAUGGUGGUGUAAGCAGAGGAGCUCCGGCAACCAAUCUUUCUGUUUUUACAUCAGUGUGACGCAUGCCAAUUGUUUGGUGAAAUGCUUCAACGAAAAAUAGACAAAUAAUCAACAAAAAGGGUUUGGACAACCCUAAAGUCGUGACCCAAUAUCUCGAAAACAACUUCCAUUCAGCCGUGGUGACUAAAAGGAUCUAUUUGCACCAAGAAAUAGGCGCUGAUAUGCUUGCAGAUAGUGACUCCUUCCAAGCUGCAGCCCUACUGAUUGUAUAGUUUCUGGUCGGUUCAUACUCAUAGAUCAAAUCUUUGCGGGACCCGAGCAUGGUUCGUACAAAACUUUGGAAGGUGAUUCAUGUAGCAGUUGGUUGAAUGAUGGACUAAGAUUUAGAAAAAAGUACAAGUUAGUGAUGUAGUCGAGUCACUGAAGCAGUGGUUGGUGCUGAUGAUGCUCGUUCCGAGAUUGAAGUUUCAGUUCUUCGAGAAAGUGGCCAUGCUGUUGAUGCUGUUGUGGUCGCUGCUUUAUGUCUCGGGGUUGUGAAUCCUAAUGGUGUUGGGGGAUGGCGAUUUCAUGGUGGUUCGGUCUGCUGAUACAUCAGAAAAGCUAGCAAAAGAUGUGUUCUUGGUCACACCUUAUCUUGCCAAUAAAAUUUUAAGCAUUGCUAAGAAGGAUCUUGGUUUGCAACAGGUGUUUGCUCCAAAAUGGGGAGCUUUUAAUAGCUGGAGAUAUUUGCUAUAACCAGAAGCUCGGCUAGAGCUUAGAAUUUGUUGCAAAUGAAGGACCCAACGCGUUUUAUGAUGGUGUGAUAGCGGAGAAUCUGGUUUAAGACGUUCAAGAUGCAUUUGGGAUUUUGCAAUGGAAGAUUUGAGGAACUAUAAUGUUGAUGUUAUGGAUGCGCUUGCAGUGGAUACAAUGGGGUACACUCUUUUAAGAAUCCCGACCCCAUCAAAUGGUACCUUGGGUCUAGCUCUGGGGUGAUCGGAGGCAGUGAUGGAAUGUACAUUAUUCCAGUAGUUGCGCAAGUGUUCAUCAACCAUUUUAUUGUGGGCAUGGAACAUUCAAAUGUAGUUAAUACCAAAUGUGAUGUACUAUGAAAACUGGACAAUUAUUGAUGGUGAUCAUAUCGAGCAUUGAACAAUAAUUUGUGCAACUUCACGUGACAAGAAUCAGGUUUACGUCUCCUCAAUGCUUCUUUCAUGGUGAUCCUGUUACAGUGAAAAGAGGGCAGGAUAGCGUGGAGGUUAAACCCCAGAAAAUGAUGUUCGGCUCGCAACUGAAGUGAAAUGAGAAUUGUACUUUAUAAUUAAGCAUCGUGUUUGUAAACUCCAUUCUUUAUCGUACAAUGAAUGUAGGCAAAACUCUUUGCGUUGUCACAUAAGGAACUAUUUCCUAUUUGUCCAUUACUCGUAUGUUGAUUUAUUGAAUGAAAAUCAGGAAAAGAAAGCAAUGAUGAUUCGGGUUUCA
Molecule: long non-coding RNA, 1699 nt
Organism: Erigeron canadensis
Lineage: Eukaryota; Viridiplantae; Streptophyta; Magnoliopsida; Asterales; Asteraceae
Exons: 8
Source: RefSeq, a predicted model, not a curated record